RNAcentral lists this non-coding RNA (30 nucleotides) under Rattus norvegicus (Norway rat). The record is from RNAcentral. Lineage: Eukaryota; Metazoa; Chordata; Mammalia; Rodentia; Muridae.
UGGAGACUUAAAAGCCAUGACCAAGGUUCU